RNAcentral lists this ribosomal RNA (497 nucleotides) under uncultured bacterium. Its description in RNAcentral is "partial 16S ribosomal RNA". It matches the Rfam family "Bacterial small subunit ribosomal RNA", at positions 28 to 507 of the family's 1533-position model. The record is from RNAcentral.
GAUGAACGCUGGCGGCGUGCCUAAUACAUGCAAGUCGAGCGAACGGACGAGAAGCUUGCUUCUCUGAUGUUAGCGGCGGACGGGUGAGUAACACGUGGAUAACCUACCUAUAAGACUGGGAUAACUUCGGGAAACCGUAGCUAAUACCGGAUAAUAUUUUGAACCGCAUGAUUCAAAAGUGAAAGACGGUCUUGCUGUCACUUAUAGAUGGAUCCGCGCUGCAUUAGCUAGUUGGUAAGGUAACGGCUUACCAAGGCAACGAUGCAUAGCCGACCUGAGAGGGUGAUCGGCCACACUGGAACUGAGACACGGUCCAGACUCCUACGGGAGGCAGCAGUAGGGAAUCUUCUGCAAUGGGCGAAAGCCUGACGGAGCAACGCCGCGUGAGUGAUGAAGGUCUUCGGAUCGUAAAACUCUGUUAUUAGGGAAGAACAUAUGUGUAAGUAACUGUGCACAUCUUGACGGUACCUAAUCAGAAAGCCACGGCUAACUACGUG